AAAAGUGAGGAGCUCACUGUGCUGGCCCACAGCAGUUCUCCACAAACCCUCCCUAGAGCCUCAAAUUCCUAUUUUCCCCCAAACCUGCUACCUCUUCCUCACUCUUGCUGAUGCUCUGGUAGGACAGCGUCAUACCAGGGCUCUGAAAAGCACCCACUGGUCACUACAAAAGACAACCUGACAUUUAUUGGGGGGCAGGGAGGGACAGUCUCUUUGCAGCCAGGCUAACCUCAACUCAAGGUCCCCCUGCUUCCACCUCAAGAGCAGCUGAGAUUGAGUGCUGUGGUGCUGGGCCUCAAGGAAUUCCUCUUUCCUCCUUAGUCCCCAGAACUCGCUCUGCAAGCAAAGUAGACACUCAAACACUUGAAGGUCAGCAGCCACAUAGCCUUCCCUUUCUCUCAGCAGACCACUGAGCCACAAUGUUCACUUAGGAUCAAGUUUCCUGGCCUGCAAAGUUCCUGGUCUGAGUUAUUUGCUUCACCUAGCAGACAUGGUGACUGUUGAAAAAAUCAUGUCCCUCAGUGCAAGGUGUGGGUAAUAGUAAAAGAGAAAAGAAAUUAAGACGUUUAAGUUUCAACAUAUUACCAUUCAACUUCUUCAAGGAAAUUCUUUGGGCAGUCUGAGGCCCUAAAGAGUAAUUUCAAACAUGCCCAACACACCUAAACAAAUUAUUUCAGCAGUAGGUGAUUUCAGGGCAGUGCCGAGAUAAAUCUUCUAAACACACCCAGAGAAUAAGCAGAGGGCUGCCCAUGUAGGCACACAGCAUAUCUUACUGAUAACACAUUUCUCGUGAAAAAAAAAAAGUCAAAGAAAUUAACUUACUAUAAAAAUGUUUUUAAGAGUAAAAAUAAAAAGUUAGUGGUUUAUCCUUGAGGCUACUGAGCAAAAGUUAUUUCCUAAAUUUUUGUAGGAUUAAUUUAUUAAAAUUAGUAUCUUACAAUAAAUUAGAAAAAGCAUUUAACAUAUAUUAAUCUAAAAUUGCGAUACUCAUUCCAAACAUUUCAAGUAUAGGCUACUUUCAUUUAACUAAAGUCUAUCAGAUUAGGAAACAUCUAAAUGUAUACUUCUGAAAAUAUAUCUGAAGAAUUUUUACAAGGAUUGCUUUACUUUAAAACCCUUUUUAAAGGGCUGGAGAGAUGGCUCAAAGGUUAAGAGCACUGCCUGCUCUUCCAGAGGUUCUGGAAUCCAUCUCCCUGCUGCUCUAAGUAGGGAAUGGUCUUUCUAUACACUGGCUGCAAGACUAGAAAUAUCCAAUGAGAAGGAAAUUGUGCCAAGGCCUCCCCUCCUCUCCUUCACCCCAGUAACUCUCGCCUCAUGGGACUGAUCUGAAGUGAGAAGCGUUUCAGGGAAGUUAUGUAAAGGAAGGCAAAGGAGGAGGCCAGGCCUUGUGAAUGCCAGGACAAAGGGUAAUACAGAAAUGACCAGGUCUUCACUCCUCUCUAAGAGAUAUAAUUCACAUAUCACAAAACGCAAACAUUCACAAUGUGCACUUCAGAAUUUAUUGACUACAUCAAACCUGUAGAUAGCUUAGGCUGCCACGCCCACGACGGUGUCGCCCGCGUGACAAAUGCCUUGGAUGAGGUGGUUACGUGGGAAAUGGGGGCUUGAGGCCCUCGGGUCUAUGCCCCCAGCGACCCCUUAUCAAUCUGCCCGAAUCAUGGUGCCAGGCUACACGGAACCACGCAAAAUCUGCUUGCAGAGGCUGGCUGGCAUUCUGCUUUUUUUCUCUUUGCAGCUGUGACUAUUGCUGUUUCCUUGUGUAUUGAUUUCAGGGAGUUAGCUCUCAAUGUUCCUGAUGUGCCCCAUAAAGAGAAUAAUGAUUCCUCAAAAGUGGCCUCAAUACCCCCACCUAUAAUUCAAGCUUUUAGGCAAACAGUUAAAGAGGGUCCUAGAAGUUUGGGGGAAUUUAUGAAUGAUUUAGAGCAAAAAGAACUUAUGACUCAGAGGGACGAAGAUUCUAGCGAGGAGAGAGGAAAGUAAAAGUCCAGGAACUCAUAUGCAAUCCACACGCGCAGCCAACAGCAGCUGCAAGGAAGCAGUUACAGGAACUAGCCAGUCCUACAAGAAUUAUCAAGGGACAAAUAGAGUUUCUCAUCAAGGGUCGGUGGUGGCAACCCCCUAACUUUAAUCCUAGAUAUAAUAAUUAUUUGGAGCCAUUGCCCUUUACGGGAGCUUAUGAUAAACAUGGGAACCAAUGGGUGAAUCAUAAUAGUAUGAAAACAGAAUGGCAUAAGUUACAGUUCAUGGAAAGACUAGCUAGGUCCCAACCUCCCUGGUGCCUUCUCACCUGCAAGCAAAGGUUAAAUAUUUUCACACAAAUGAAACCAUGGUUAGAACGAUGGUGGGAAGGGUUUAAUUUUGAUACAAAGCAAAGGUCUAAUAAUUACAUAGAAGGAAAACUUCAGCUAGGGCCGUAAUGUUCUCUGGAUGAGGGACCACAAAAGAGAAAAUAACACCUGUACUCAUGAGAUCCGUUAAUCAUUCUGAGAAAAUUGUGUGACCACAUUGUUAAUUCUAUGUCUAUCGCCCCACUGGCCGAUUGCCAUGUUUCCUCAAAUGAUUGUAUAAAAAACACUGCUUGAUCUGAGUAAAAUUGCAGCAGUUUCACAGCA
Peromyscus californicus insignis is the source of this 2612-nucleotide long non-coding RNA. RefSeq lists it as uncharacterized. NCBI's taxonomy places the organism in Eukaryota, Metazoa, Chordata, Mammalia, Rodentia, Cricetidae. The record is from RefSeq and is a predicted model, not a curated record. The transcript is spliced from 2 exons.